Molecule: ribosomal RNA, 484 nt
Filed under: uncultured bacterium
Lineage: Bacteria
Description: partial 16S ribosomal RNA
Rfam family: Bacterial small subunit ribosomal RNA
Source: RNAcentral
AUUGAACGCUGGCGGCAGGCCUAACACAUGCAAGUCGAGCGGAUGAAGGGAGCCUGCUCCUGGAUUCAGCGGCGGACGGGUGAGUAAUGCCUAGGAAUCUGCCUGGUAGUGGGGGAUAACGUCCGGAAACGGGCGCUAAUACCGCAUACGUCCUGAGGGAGAAAGUGGGGGAUCUUCGGACCUCACGCUAUCAGAUGAGCCUAGGUCGGAUUAGCUAGUUGGUGGGGUAAAGGCCUACCAAGGCGACGAUCCGUAACUGGUCUGAGAGGAUGAUCAGUCACACUGGAACUGAGACACGGUCCAGACUCCUACGGGAGGCAGCAGUGGGGAAUAUUGGACAAUGGGCGAAAGCCUGAUCCAGCCAUGCCGCGUGUGUGAGGAAGGUCUUCGGAUUGUAAAGCACUUUAAGUUGGGAGGAAGGGCAGUAAGUUAAUACCUUGCUGUUUUGACGUUACCAACAGAAUAAGCACCGGCUAACUUCGUG